AUCUGUUUAAAGAUUAGACUGUGCAUAAGUAAUAUGGAAGACAAGAGCUUUUUGUUUCACUGAUCGGUGUAGUGAUUAGAGCUGUGUUCUUAGGAUUUUCUGGAAAUGAUCAGAUUUCUGGAAGGGUAGAAGUUGUUUGAUUUGGUUAAGAGAAUUGUGAGGUUUCGAUGGAGCAAGCGUUGGACGGAGAGGACCCAGCUGUUUAGACUAGGAUCGAUCGAUCACGUGGAGAUUUUGUUUGGACCGAUCGGUUGUGUUUAUAGUUUUGUUUCUUAG
Vigna angularis (adzuki bean) is the source of this 276-nucleotide long non-coding RNA. RefSeq lists it as uncharacterized. The record is from RefSeq and is a predicted model, not a curated record. The transcript has 3 exons. Lineage: Eukaryota; Viridiplantae; Streptophyta; Magnoliopsida; Fabales; Fabaceae.